UACGGGGGGAGCAAGCGUUGUUCGGAUUUACUGGGCGUAAAGGGCGCGUAGGCGGUCGUGACAAGUCACUUGUGAAAUCUCCGAGCUUAACUCGGAACGGUCAAGUGAUACUGUCGGACUAGAGUACAGAAGGGGCAACUGGAAUUCUCGGUGUAGCGGUGAAAUGCGUAGAUAUCGAGAGGAACACCUGCGGCGAAGGCGGGUUGCUGGGCUGAUACUGACGCUGAGGCGCGAAAGCCAGGGGAGCGAACGGG
RNAcentral lists this ribosomal RNA (254 nucleotides) under uncultured bacterium. RNAcentral describes it as "partial 16S ribosomal RNA". It matches the Rfam family "Bacterial small subunit ribosomal RNA", at positions 524 to 776 of the family's 1533-position model. The record is from RNAcentral.